GACGAACGCUGGCGGCGUGCCUAAUACAUGCAAGUUGAGCGCUGAAGGUUGGUACUUGUACCAACUGGAUGAGCAGCGAACGGGUGCGUAACGCGUGGGGAAUCUGCCUUUGAGCGGGGGACAACAUUUGGAAACGAAUGCUAAUACCGCAUAAAAACUUUAAACACAAGUUUUAAGUUUGAAAGAUGCAAUUGCAUCACUCAAAGAUGAUCCCGCGUUGUAUUAGCUAGUUGGUGAGGUAAAGGCUCACCAAGGCGAUGAUACAUAGCCGACCUGAGAGGGUGAUCGGCCACAUUGGGACUGAGACACGGCCCAAACUCCUACGGGAGGCAGCAGUAGGGAAUCUUCGGAAAUGGACGAAAGGCUGACCGAGCAACGCCGCGUGAGUGAAGAAGGUUUUCGGAUCGUAAAACUCUGUUGGUAGAGAAGAACGUUGGUGAGAGUGGAAAGCUCAUCAAGUGACGGUAACUACCCAGAAAGGGACGGCUAACUACGUG
This 497-nucleotide ribosomal RNA is filed under the name uncultured bacterium. RNAcentral describes it as "partial 16S ribosomal RNA". It matches the Rfam family "Bacterial small subunit ribosomal RNA", at positions 28 to 507 of the family's 1533-position model. The record is from RNAcentral.